UUGGAGGGCAAGUCUGGUGCCAGCAGCCGCGGUAAUUCCAGCUCCAAUAGCGUAUAUUAAAGUUGUUGCAGUUAAAAAGCUCGUAGUUGAAUUUCGGGAUCAGUACGCCGGUCGUGCCUUCGGUACGUACUGGUGUCACUGAUUCCUCCCUUCUGACGAACCGUCAUGCCAUUCACUUGGUGUGGCGGGGAAUCAGGACUGUACUUUGAAAAAUUGAGUGUUUAAAGCAGGCUCACGCUUGAAUACAUUAGCAUGGAAUAAUGAAAUAGGACGUUGAUCUUAUCUUGUUGGUUUCUAGGAUUGACGUAAUGAUUAAUAGGGAUAGUUGGGGGCAUUAGUAUUCAAUUGUCAGAGGUGAAAUUCUUGGAUUUAUUGAAGACUAACUACUGCGAAAGC
Molecule: ribosomal RNA, 396 nt
Filed under: uncultured Glomus
Lineage: Eukaryota; Fungi; Glomeromycota; Glomeromycetes; Glomerales; Glomeraceae
Description: SSU rRNA
Rfam family: Eukaryotic small subunit ribosomal RNA
Source: RNAcentral